Molecule: ribosomal RNA, 27 nt
Filed under: Bradyrhizobium sp. Am20102b
Lineage: Bacteria; Pseudomonadati; Pseudomonadota; Alphaproteobacteria; Hyphomicrobiales; Nitrobacteraceae
Also listed under: 1 other name
Description: partial 23S ribosomal RNA
Source: RNAcentral
AAUCAAGUGCCUUAAGGGUGUUCGGUG